CAAGACCAAAAUCCGAAGCUUCUCGCCAUCGACGCCACCACCAACCGCCAUGAAUUAUAGGACCGCCAAGAGGAGGAAGGGGAUCCCACACAGAGCUCCCAUGGGAGGACUCAUCAUAGAGUACUAAGAAAUGAAUAGCUCCAGGUUCCUUAUAUACAUAUAUGACCCUGUUAUAAUUACACUUUUUAAAAAAAAAGACACUAUUAUAAUGCCCCUAAUAAUCAAUGUUAUAGCAUAUACAAGUUACAUCACCUGAGCCUUGUGCCCAAGAGGCCGGUGUUGGAUUCUAAGUAAGUCAGUCCUGUGUUUGUACAUACAAGAGCUGAACAACAAAAAUAAGGAGUCAAGAAAGGGGGGGGAAAGGAAAAACAAAGAAGAUGAAAU
Molecule: long non-coding RNA, 384 nt
Filed under: Carica papaya (papaya)
Lineage: Eukaryota; Viridiplantae; Streptophyta; Magnoliopsida; Brassicales; Caricaceae
Description: long non-coding RNA (CPAP_LNC009192)
Source: RNAcentral